UUCGGUCUGCGACGGAUCAUUCAAGUUUCUGACCUAUCAGCUUUCGACGGUACUGUAUUGGACUACCGUGGCAGUGACGGGUAACGGGGAAUUAGGGUUCGAUUCCGGAGAGGGAGCCUGAGAAACGGCUACCACAUCUAAGGAAGGCAGCAGGCGCGCAAAUUACCCAAUCCUGAUUCAGGGAGGUAGUGACAAGAAAUAACAACACUGGAAAUUUCAUUUCUAGUGAUUGGAAUGAUAGGAAUCCAAACCCCUUUCAGAGUAACAAUUGGAGGGCAAGUCUGGUGCCAGCAGCCGCGGUAAUUCCAGCUCCAAUAGCGUAUAUUAAAGUUGUUGCAGUUAAAAAGCUCGUAGUUGGAUUUCUGCUGGAAGCAGCCAGUCCGCCCUCAGGGGUGUGCACUUGGUGAAUUCUAGCAUCCUUCUGGAUUUCUUCACACUUCAUUGUGUGGAGUUUUUUCCAGGACUUUUACUUUGAGAAAAUUAGAGUGUUUCAAGCAGGCUUGUCGCCUUGAAUACUGCAGCAUGGAAUAAUAAGAUAGGAUUUCGGCCCUAUUUUGUUGGUUUCUAGGACUGAAGUAAUGAUUAAUAGGGACGGUUGGGGGCAUUCGUAUUUAACUGUCAGAGGUGAAAUUCUUAGAUUUGUUAAAGACGAACUACUGCGAAAGCAUUUGCCAAAGAUGUUUUCAUUAAUCAAGAACGAAAGUUAGGGGCUCGAAGACGAUCAGAUACCGUCGUAGUCUUAACCAUAAACUAUGCCGACUAGAGAUAGGAAAACGUCAUGCUUGACUUCUCCUGCACCUUAUGAGAA
Molecule: ribosomal RNA, 808 nt
Filed under: Neospora caninum
Lineage: Eukaryota; Apicomplexa; Conoidasida; Eucoccidiorida; Sarcocystidae
Description: SSU rRNA
Rfam family: Eukaryotic small subunit ribosomal RNA
Source: RNAcentral